This 794-nucleotide unclassified non-coding RNA is filed under the name Hevea brasiliensis (rubber tree). The record is from RNAcentral. Lineage: Eukaryota; Viridiplantae; Streptophyta; Magnoliopsida; Malpighiales; Euphorbiaceae.
GUCCUAAGACUUUGUUUUAUUAACAAAUUAGUUUUUUUUAUUUAAAUUUUAUAUUUAAAUAGUUAAUAAGUUUUAUAUCAAAAUAUAUUUUGUGAUUGUGUAAUAAAGUGAGAGGGAGAGGUGAAGAAAGGAUGUAAGGGUAAUUUGUGUAUUUAAAUUUUAUUUUUAAGUAAUUUUUGGUAUUGGAUAAUGGUAAAUUGGAAGAUAUUUGGAUAAAAAGCUAUUCUAUGUAGCAGGCAAAGACACUGAGCUUGGUUUUCAUAUUCAAGUGGAGCCGUUACUGAAUGCAUGUAGCAGGAAGCUGGAGGGCGACUGAAUACGAUUGUUUUUGGCUCUAAUUUUGUUCACCUUUUGUUCCAACAGACCUUGCAUUCACUGCCCAAUAUAAGGUUUCUCGUAGUUGCAUAUUUGCACUCUCUUGAUGUCAUAUUUGGCUAACAUAUGUUAAUUCACUCAUUUACUAAUUAAUAACUGUCUUUCUUCCUCUAGUUAUUUUGGUGUGUCUACUCUCUCAGCAAUGCUUAGAAGAACCUAUUAUUCACAACAAGUGCAAGAAAUCAUAGAAUUAGACGUGUUAGUUCUUGAGCAUUAACUACAUAAAUUUGCUAAGCGGAGGAAAUCAUAGAGUUGAAAGAUUGACAUUGGUAACAAUAUUUUCAACUAAGAAGAUGCAUUUGUAAGGUUUGCAACUGAAGAAGGGGUCAGUCCAGAGGUAAACCGCAAUAUUGGAUGUAUACAUUUGUUAAGAAAGUGAGAUCAUUUGAGUCCAUGGAACAAAACUUCUUGUGUAGAAC